GUCUAACACUGUCCGACAGCAUCUGCCAGUAACAUCCAGCCAAAUAUUUCCCAACGAAGAUUACAAGACCAGCAGGAAACCACUUAGUAACGGUAAAAUCAUGACAGGCAGCAGCAUUUUGGACUUUUUCUCAACACCAGCAUCUCCCUACAAUAUAUGGAUAGAAGAAUCCCGAAGGCUUUAAUUCACCUUUGACAGGUUCCCAGAGGUACAGAACACGCAACCCAAACCCUUCCAUUGUGCCUUGGCUGGUUUCCUGAAUCAUCUUGCCACAUCCCUUGAGGCCUCUCCAGGUACCUGCUUAUAAUGGAAAGAAGACAGGAAAUGAAGCUUACUCUUCACUGUGGGGUCCUGAGUAGA
RNAcentral lists this long non-coding RNA (360 nucleotides) under Phascolarctos cinereus (koala). Its description in RNAcentral is "lncRNA (ENSPCIG00000027404.2)". The record is from RNAcentral. Lineage: Eukaryota; Metazoa; Chordata; Mammalia; Diprotodontia; Phascolarctidae.